Molecule: transfer RNA, 58 nt
Organism: Sorghum bicolor (sorghum)
Lineage: Eukaryota; Viridiplantae; Streptophyta; Magnoliopsida; Poales; Poaceae
Rfam family: tRNA
About the family: Transfer RNA (tRNA) molecules are approximately 80 nucleotides in length. Their secondary structure includes four short double-helical elements and three loops (D, anti-codon, and T loops).
Source: Rfam
UAGCUCAGUUGAUAGAGCGCAAGGCUCUUAACCUUGUGGUUGUGGGUUCUAGCCCCAU